UGGGGAAUAUUGGACAAUGGGGGGAACCCUGAUCCAGCCAUGCCGCGUGUGUGAAGAAGGCCUUUUGGUUGUAAAGCACUUUAAGCGAGGAGGAGGCUACCGAGAUUAAUACUCUUGGAUAGUGGACGUUACUCGCAGAAUAAGCACCGGCUAACUCUGUGCCAGCAGCCGCGGUAAUACAGAGGGUGCAAGCGUUAAUCGGAUUUACUGGGCGUAAAGCGCGCGUAGGUGGCCAAUUAAGUCAAAUGUGAAAUCCCCGGGCUUAACUUGGGAAUUGCAUUCGAUACUGGUUGGCUAGAGUAUGGGAGAGGAUGGUAGAAUUCCAGGUGUAGCGGUGAAAUGCGUAGAGAUCUGGAGGAAUACCGAUGGCGAAGGCAGCCAUCUGGCCUAAUACUGACACUGAGGUGCGAAAGCAUGGGGAGCAAACAGG
RNAcentral lists this ribosomal RNA (430 nucleotides) under Actinomycetes bacterium. RNAcentral's name for it is "Actinobacteria bacterium partial 16S ribosomal RNA". It matches the Rfam family "Bacterial small subunit ribosomal RNA", at positions 355 to 776 of the family's 1533-position model. Lineage: Bacteria; Bacillati; Actinomycetota; Actinomycetes. The record is from RNAcentral.